RNAcentral lists this long non-coding RNA (202 nucleotides) under Phoenix dactylifera (date palm). Its description in RNAcentral is "long non-coding RNA (PDAC_LNC011089)". Lineage: Eukaryota; Viridiplantae; Streptophyta; Magnoliopsida; Arecales; Arecaceae. The record is from RNAcentral.
UAUGCUUAAGACCAUCUACAAAUCGUACAUUAUCAACAAAGGUUGAAGAGGUGAUUUGUACUUUACCUAUACCAACGAUGUGACCUUGGUUGUUGUCUCCAAAUGUCACAACACCUCCCUUUUUUAGGCUCUAGGGUGAAGAAUUGCUUCUUGUCACCCGUCAUGUGUCUUGAGCAGCCACUAUCCAAGUACCAACAGUUUU